UAACUGCACUUCGUCUUCGGGCGCAGACAAACGUAACAGAUCCGCCGGUGUAGAAUACUACGAGGUAGCAUUGCGCGCACGGUGAAUAUACAUCGUUCGAUCCGAAGCGGCACUGGGUAGCAAGCGUGCUAGCACGAGUCGUCAGUGUCUACGACCCGGCUUUCCGAUCGCUAUUGACCAGUCAGCGAGUCGAAGAUCCGCCGCUCGGGUACGAGGCGCGGGUAGUUACCAAAGGGAAGAUGUAUCUACCGGUGCCACCUAAUACAAACCAACUUAGCCUUGAUAUAAGGAUUUUCAAGCGAGUCGGAGUCGGAGUCGGAGUCGGUGCCGAGCGGAAAGAGGAAGACGCAGAUACAGCGAGAUCUAUCGAUCCGAGAUUUUGAGUGGACACUGGAUGCAUCGGAGGCGCGUCGACUGGACACGUACCUAUCGAAUGCAUCUUUGCAUCGGUGAAUAGUCGCCGCGGAAAAGGUGCAAGCACCGCACGAUGAUCCUGAGAGGUCUCCAGGCUUAACUAACUGCGUUCCUUAUCUAAAUGGCAAUAAUAAUUGGCUGUGAAGCGUAUCCCGUAUCGAUACCCCGACAAACGUGCGAUGCACUGCCAUGGGAACAAUGCACCGUCUGACUUAUAGCGCGUUCGGUGUAUAGAAGGCGUUCAGACAGAGAGUUCCCGGAGAUGAUAGGUGCGAGGUACACGUUCCUGAAUCGAGAGGGGGAUAAUUCGGAAUUAUCAUUCACGUCUAAUCGAUAAUAGGCUCCGUACCUCCACGAGUUUCUGCUUGACAACGUAUUCGUUUGCGAAACUUGUUGAAUUUUCGAGGGCCCGAUGACGCUUGACAUUAACGCUCGAACGACCGAUCCUCUCGACAAAAAUACAACCGUGUACGCUUUCAGGAUCGUUCAUAUUUUUGUUUAUCAAUUUUAAUUGCAACAUAUUCUUCAAAGUAUCCCUUCUGCUUCUUCUUAUUGAAACACGUGGAGGUUGAAAUUAUACAGAUUUUCGACAGAAACCGGAUGGCUAAAUAUUUAAGCUCCGGGUUCAAAUGUGGGCACAGGCUUCGUUAUCCGAAUCUAUAAUAAUUUUAUGCCUGUUUCAACGUACUCGAUAACUUUGAAACUGUUCUUCCAAAGCCAUUUUGUGGUUGUACAAUUGUAGGAUAAAAUUGAAACAGAGUUGAAGAGGAUAUACGGCAAUAUUAAUCGAGCCUGAACGACGUACAUACCGAAUGGAACUGCGAAUAGAUGAUCGGCUUUCCAACAGCCCGUUAAUUAGUAGAACGAAUCGCGUAACGUUUGCACCAAUUAGCGCAUAAGCGGACGCAACAAUGGCAUCGCAACCGUGCAUUGCUAAGUAAUUGAGAGGCACGUCUAGCCGUGAUACGGUUAACAGUAACUCGGAUCGUUUUAUCUCCGAGGAAAAGUGAUAUUGCGUUACGUGCUCCGAUAUUUUGUAAUAAUAACAAUGAAUCGAACGUUGACCUUACUGGUGCGCUCCGAUUCAGGCAUGUGGUGUGUAAUACUGAUUUAUAGUUGGGAAAUCUUGAAAGCUUUUAUUAUUCGAUGCUAUUGCACAAUAUAAAUCCGAAUAAUUGAUUGACGUACGAAUGAAAUUGCUUUCGAGAAAUUUUUCAAGAAUCCCUCUAUUUUUUAUCCUAUUAUUUGCGCUAUUGUUUCAAGUAUGGGUCACAAUAGAGCGGUGUUUCAUAAUAGGUACAUUUACCUUUUAUCAAAGGUGUAAGAUCCUUUCAUCCGUCAUUCAAGUCGACCGAUAAGUUAAAACUAGCUUUACGAAAUGCGUGAAACGAAAUUACAAUGAUCGAGUGUGCGAUAAUUAUCAAUACUUUUCGAAAAAGGCUUCGACGAUGUAACGAAGCAGCAGGAGACAAUUUCGAACACUUAACGCAAAAUUUUAUAAAUUCUAUUGUUCAGUUUUGCGAUUAAUACGUUUGUUGAACUGAUAAAAUAUACAUAUAGAAGAUUAAA
Megalopta genalis is the source of this 1983-nucleotide long non-coding RNA. RefSeq lists it as uncharacterized. The record is from RefSeq and is a predicted model, not a curated record. Lineage: Eukaryota; Metazoa; Arthropoda; Insecta; Hymenoptera; Halictidae.